RNAcentral lists this ribosomal RNA (228 nucleotides) under uncultured bacterium. RNAcentral's name for it is "partial 16S ribosomal RNA". It matches the Rfam family "Bacterial small subunit ribosomal RNA", at positions 103 to 334 of the family's 1533-position model. The record is from RNAcentral.
CGGGUGAGUAAUGUAUGGGGAUCUGCCCGAUAGAGGGGGAUAACUACUGGAAACGGUGGCUAAUACCGCAUAAUGUCUACGGACCAAAGCAGGGGCUCUUCGGACCUUGCACUAUCGGAUGAACCCAUAUGGGAUUAGCUAGUAGGUGGGGUAACGGCUCACCUAGGCGACGAUCCCUAGCUGGUCUGAGAGGAUGACCAGCCACACUGGAACUGAGACACGGUCCAG